RNAcentral lists this ribosomal RNA (495 nucleotides) under uncultured bacterium. RNAcentral describes it as "partial 16S ribosomal RNA". It matches the Rfam family "Bacterial small subunit ribosomal RNA", at positions 28 to 507 of the family's 1533-position model. The record is from RNAcentral.
GAUGAACGCUGGCGGCGUGCCUAAUACAUGCAAGUAGAACGCUGAAGGGGGAGCUUGCCCUUCUGGAUGUUUUCCGCACGGGUGAGUAUCGCGUAGGUAACCUGCCUGGUAGCGGGGGAUAUCUCUUGGAAAAGAUAGAUAAUACCGCAUGUCACCAGUUAUAGCAUGAUAACUGUCUAAAAGGGGCAACUGCUCCACUACCAGAUGGACCUGCGUUGUAUUAGCUAGGUGGUGAUGUAACGGCGCACCAAGGCGACGAUACAUAGCCGGCCUGGGAGGGGUGUCCGCCAAACCGGGACUGGGGAAACGCCCAGACCUCUACGGGGGGCAGCAGUAGGGAAACUUCGGGAAUAGAGCGAAGGCUGACCGGGGAACGGCGCGUGAGGGAAGAAGGUUUUCGGAUUGUAAAGAUCUUUUGUAAGAGAAGGACGAGUGGGAGAGUGGACAGUGCACGCUGUGACGGUAUCUAACCAGAAAGGGACGGCUAACUACGUG